This 250-nucleotide unclassified non-coding RNA is filed under the name plant metagenome. Its description in RNAcentral is "partial contains small subunit ribosomal RNA, internal transcribed spacer 1, and 5.8S ribosomal RNA". The record is from RNAcentral.
GUAGGUGAACCUGCGGAAGGAUCAUUACUAAAAAUCGAAUGGGAAACAGCAUGAAAUAUUUCUUGCUUUUCCUUUUCAAAAUUAUCUCAUAUAAGUCCUUGUGAACAUUUUCCUGUUGCCUUGGCGGGCCUUUUAUUUAUUUUAACUUGUCCGCCAAAGGUAUUGAAUAAACCAAUAAUUUUUUGCUUUUAAAUUUGUUAAAAUUGCUCAUUUUUCUCUUUUGAGAAUGAGACUUAAAAUAAAAAACUUU